Molecule: non-coding RNA, 783 nt
Organism: Callithrix jacchus (white-tufted-ear marmoset)
Lineage: Eukaryota; Metazoa; Chordata; Mammalia; Primates; Cebidae
Source: RefSeq, a predicted model, not a curated record
AGCUUGCAGAGGCAAGGCCGAGGAUAAGGAAUAGAUGCCUGUCACCAAGCUGGGCCAAAUCAGGGACAUGAAGAUCAAGUCCCUGGAGAUAUACCUCUUCUCCCUGCCCAUCAAGGAAUCUGAGAUCACUGACUUUUUCCUGGGGCCUCUCUCAAGGAUGAGGUUUUGAAGAUUAUGCCAGGGCAGAAGCAGACCUGUGCCAGCCAGCAUGCCAGGUUCAAGGCAUUUGUUGCCACUGGGGACUACAAUGGCCAUGUCGGUCUGAAUGUUAAAUGCUCCAAGGAGGUGGCCACUGCCAUCACGGGGCCAUCAUCCUGGCCAAGCUCUCCAUGGUCCCCAUGCACAGAGGCUACUGGGGGACCAUGUAGCCCCACACCAUCCCUUGCAAGGUGACAGGCUGCUGCAGCUCUGUGCUAGUGUGCCUCUGUGCUGGUGCACCUCAUCCCCACACCCAGGGGCACUGGCAUCAUCUCAGCACCUGUGCUCAAGAAGCUGCUCAUGAUGGCUGGUAUAGAUGACUGGUACACCUCAGCCAGGGGCUGCACUGCCAUCUUGGGCAACUUCGCCAAGGCCACCUUUGAUGCCAUCUCUAAGAUCUACAGCUACCUGAUCCCCAACCUCUGGAAGGAGACUGUAUUCACCAAGUCUCCCUAUCAGGAAAUCACUGACCAUCUUGUCAAGACCCACACCAAAGUCUCUGUGCAGAGGACCCAGGCUCCAGCUGUGGCUACAACAUAGGGUUUUUAUACAACAAAAAUAAAGUAAAUUAACCCUGAAAAAAAA